UCACCUGGCAUCUUGCUGUCGUC
This 23-nucleotide microRNA is filed under the name Canis lupus familiaris (dog). Its description in RNAcentral is "Cfa-Novel-17_5p* (star (passenger))". The record is from RNAcentral. Lineage: Eukaryota; Metazoa; Chordata; Mammalia; Carnivora; Canidae.